CUACAACGAAUUCUUGCAUUACAUUUGAAUACAAUUCCAUCAUUUCAAUCCUACGAUAUCCAGCCAUUUCUUAGUUACCAGUAAUAAUCCUCGCUUCACUUUAAUUCUUCAGGUUUUCCAUUAUUUAAACGCUCAAUUAGCUUUAUGUUUAACCAAUUUGUUAAUCUCCACGGGCAUUUAAACUAAACUUGCUAACGACUUCUACUCGAAAUACAUAAUUUUUGAUGGAAUGUGCGAGUCUGCAUUUUGAGAAUCUCAUCGAAACCAAACUGGAUUUCGAGUCUACAUGCGUUGGCCAGCCGCCUAAGCCCACAUAAAUACUGGCUUACGUAUGUUCGCUUAUUUUCUGUAUAGAACCUUAGCGAGUGUCAUAAAAACUGAAAUUGCCCAAGCACUCUGGCCAUAUAUGUAUAUGACUGCCUGUCAAAAUUAACAUUUCAGUCACACAAUGACCUUCACCUAGAAGCCAUCAAAUCGUACCCAAGCGGCGGCCCAGCCCGGGCUCGGUCGGAAACCAAAACCAAACCAAAACCAAAGCCAAAGCCAAAACCAACUUCAACUUGACGAC
Molecule: long non-coding RNA, 568 nt
Filed under: Drosophila guanche
Lineage: Eukaryota; Metazoa; Arthropoda; Insecta; Diptera; Drosophilidae
Source: RNAcentral